UACGGAGGGGACUAGCGUUGUUCGGAAUUACUGGGCGUAAAGAGUACGUAGGCGGCUUUGCAAGUUGGGUGUGAAAGCCCGGGGCUCAACCCCGGAACUGCACUCAAAACUGUGAGGCUAGAGAUCGGAAGAGGUAAGUGGAAUUCCCAGUGUAGAGGUGAAAUUCGUAGAUAUUGGGAAGAACACCGGUGGCGAAGGCG
RNAcentral lists this ribosomal RNA (200 nucleotides) under uncultured bacterium. Its description in RNAcentral is "partial 16S ribosomal RNA". It matches the Rfam family "Bacterial small subunit ribosomal RNA", at positions 524 to 723 of the family's 1533-position model. The record is from RNAcentral.